This 490-nucleotide ribosomal RNA is filed under the name uncultured bacterium. Its description in RNAcentral is "partial 16S ribosomal RNA". It matches the Rfam family "Bacterial small subunit ribosomal RNA", at positions 28 to 507 of the family's 1533-position model. The record is from RNAcentral.
GAUGAACGCUAGCUACAGGCUUAACACAUGCAAGUCGCGGGGCAGCAUGGGGGUUGCUUGCAAUCCCCGAUGGCGACCGGCGCACGGGUGAGUAACGCGUAUCCAACCUGCCCUUCACCACGGGAUAACCCGGCGAAAGUCGGACUAAUACCGUAUGUUGUCCAUUGACGGCAUCCGAUUUGGACGAAAGGUUUGGCGGUGAAGGAUGGGGAUGCGUCCGAUUAGCUGGACGGCGGGGUGACGGCCCACCGUGGCGACGAUCGGUAGGGGUUCUGAGAGGAAGGUCCCCCACACUGGAACUGAGACACGGUCCAGACUCCUACGGGAGGCAGCAGUGAGGAAUAUUGGUCAAUGAGCGUAAGCCUGAACCAGCCAAGUAGCGUGCAGGAUGACGGCCCUAUGGGUUGUAAACUGCUUUUAAGCGGAGAUAAAGUGGCCCACGUGUGGGUUUUUGCAGGUACCGCAUGAAUAAGAACCGGCUAAUUCCGUG